This is an RNA transcript of Mercurialis annua (annual mercury), 4710 nucleotides long. It is a transcript of the gene named disease resistance protein RPV1-like, with no coding region annotated. The transcript has 7 exons. Lineage: Eukaryota; Viridiplantae; Streptophyta; Magnoliopsida; Malpighiales; Euphorbiaceae. The record is from RefSeq and is a predicted model, not a curated record.
UUUGAAACGAGGCCCUCGAUAGUGUGAGGUGACAUUCUUUUUCCGGCAUGUCUGAUAACUUAACGAGAAUAGAUGUUCUCGUUAACGUGUGUUCUUUUUGUUAAGGAAAAAAAUUUGAGGGUUCAACUUGAGAUCGGAGAGAAAACAGGUGAAGUGAAAUUUUGGGUAAACAUUAGGAUCAUUUUAUAAAUUAUCCCUAAAAUCAAAGAUAAGGGACCAAAUAGCCAAACCACUUAUAAUACAGGGACCCGAGAUGUGUUUAACUUUUAUUUUCUUUUAUUGUUUUUUUUUGUCAAAUUUUAUUGUUUAGUUUAUUUAAGUAAAUUCCCCAUACUUUUUCUGAUAGUGCCGAAGCAGAAGAAAAUCGUAUGAAAUGUAAGCAAUCGCCAUUUUCUAGUGUUUCUUAGCUUCUCUCUUACUUAAUGGCUGCUCCUUCUUCUUCUUCAACGACUCUUGAAUCAAAGAAUUACGACGUAUUCAUUAGUUUCAGAGGCACUGAUAUUCGAGAUGGAUUUCUGAGCCAUCUUCAUCAAUCGCUGCUUCAAAACCAAGUCAAUGCUUUUGUGGAUGACAAUCUUGCGAGAGGAAAAGACAUCACAUCAUCACUUUUAGAAAUAAUCGAAAAAUCAUAUGUUUCGGUUGUCAUUUUCUCCACCAAUUAUGCGGAUUCUUCAUGGUGUUUGGACGAGCUCGUCAAAAUACUUGAAUGCCUACAGAACAAGAAGCAGAUCGUCUUGCCGGUGUUUUACCGUGUGGAUCCAAGUCAUGUUCAAGACCUGACGGGGAGUUAUGGAGACGCAAUUGAGAAGCAUAAACAAGAAUUCAGUGACUGUUUGGACAAGGUCAAGAAUUGGAGUAAUGCUUUGAUGGAAAUUUCAAACUUAUCAGGCUGGGAUUCACGGAUUACUAAGCCUGAGUCUAAGCUGAUAAAAGAAAUUGUAGAUUAUGUUCUGGAAAAAUUGGAUCAUGCAACUCCAAUUGAUUUUUGCAAUGAUGGCCUAGUUGGAAUUAAUUCACGUGUUAAGGACGUCCGUUCAUUGCUGUGCCUCGAGUCAAAAGACAUUCGAAUUAUUGGGAUUUGGGGAAUGGGUGGUAUAGGGAAAACAACUGUCGUUGAUAAGCUCUUUAAUGAAAUCUAUAACCAAUUCCCGCGUCGAUGCUUUGUCGCAAAUGUUAGGGAGAGAUUAGAAAACUCUACCAAGGAUAGUCUACAAACUGAAAUUCUUUCUGCCAUACUAGGCAAAGAAAACCUUAAUACAGGAAUGCCCAUCAUGUUGAACUCCUAUGUGCGGAGACGGCUCUCCCAAGAAAAAGUUCUUAUUGUUCUUGAUAACGUGAGUGAUUUGGAUCAAAUAGAAAGCUUAGUAAGAAGUAACGUUGUGUUUGGUUCAGGCAGUAGAAUCAUUAUAACAAGUAGGGAUAAACAAUUGCUCAAGAAUGUGGGUGCUAGAAUAUAUGAAGUUAAGAAAUUAAAUUACUAUGAAGCUCUUCAUCUCUUUAGCUUGCAUGCCUUUAAAGAAAAUUCUCUAAAGAAAGAAUACAUGGAGUUGUCACGCAUGGCAAUUAUUUAUGCUCAAGGCGUUCCAUUAGCUCUUAAAGUAUUGGGGUCCAAUUUGUAUGGUAAGGGUAUACAAAUAUGGGAAGAUGAGUUGGAGAAACUCAAAGGUUCUACUUAUGAAAAAGCGCAAUUUUUUUUAAGAUUAAGUUAUGACGGACUAGAUGAGAAAGAAAAGGAUAUUUUUCUUGAUAUCGCGUGUUUUUUUAAUGGAUGUGACAAACAUAGUGUGACAAAUAUAUUAAAUGGCUGUGGCUUCUUUGCAAAAUCUGGAAUAAGCCUUCUCAAUGAUAAGUCUCUUAUAACAAUUUCAAGUGACAACGAGUUAUGCAUGCAUGACCUGUUACAGAAAAUGGGGAAAGACAUUGUUUCGGAAGAGAAAGAACUCGCUAGACGUAGCAGGUUGUGGGAUCCCAAAGAUGUAUAUAAAGUGUUGACAAGAGAUAUGGGGACUACAAGUGUUGAAGGCAUUUUAUUAGACAUGUCCCAGAUCAAAUAUCUGGAUUUAAGUCCUACAGCUUUUGCAAAGUUCUGCAAUCUUAGGAUUCUAAAAUUUUACGAUUGCUAUAGAAAUAACAAAAUACUCCUUCCUGGAGGCCUUGAAUAUUUUCCUCAUGAGUUGAGAUUUCUCCAGUGGGAUAAUUUUCCUUUAAAUUGCUUGCCAAUACAAUUCUGUCUUGAAAAUCUUGUUGAACUUCACAUGCCCAAAAGUAAAAUCAAGCACCUCUGGACUGAAGAUCAGGCCCUUCCAAAUUUAAAAGUGAUUAACCUCGAAGACUCUGCGGACCUUGUCCAUAUUCCUGACCUGUCUACUGUCCCGAGCCUUGAGGUCUUAUGUUUGCACCUUUGUACAAGUUUAAUUGAGAUUCCAAUGUCUAUCCAAAAUCUAAGCAAGCUGACUCGAUUGGUUCUGUCAUUUUGUACAAGUCUUUAUAGUUUGCCGAGCUGCCUUCCUUCGAGUAUAAAAAGCCUAUAUUUGGAUGGGACUCCAAUAAAGCAAUUACCUUCUUCAACUGAAUCUCUCUCUCAUCUUAUUCAUAUGGAAUAUCUUCCAUCCAAUCAGUUGGAGAGUAUACCAAGUAGCAUUGCUCAGUUGACAUGUCUCAGGAAAUUCAUGUUGGUGGGAUGCUCAAAAUUGCCAAGUCUUCCAGACACCAAUUGCAAUCUGAAAUCACUUGCAAAAUUUUCUUUGCCGAAUUGUGUGAAUCUGAAUGAAUUGCCGGAAAACUUUGGAAAUUUAGAAUAUUUGGAAGAAUUGAGUACAACAGAUAGUGGUAAUAAAGAGCUGACAUCUUCCAUCAAUCUGUUGAGGCAAUUAAGGUACUUGAAUUGUUCCGGGUGUAAAGGUUUAAUAUUGCCUCCUUUAAAAAAAUUGACAUGUCUAACAUAUGUUGGUCUAAGUCGCUGUGGUUUCUUAGAAUUUCCCAACAGCCUUUGCUCUGUUAAGUCGUUGAAAACAUUAAAUUUAGAUGGAAAUGAUUUUGAGAUCAUACCUGCAAGCAUCACGCAGCUUUGUAAUUUGAGUUUACUCAAUUUAAAAGAUUGCAUAAGGCUUAAACAUAUACUAGAUCUUCCAUCGUCUUUGGAUAAUUUAUUUGCAAGGAACUGUGUCUCUCUGGUAUCAGCAUCAACUUCAUUCUUAUUGAAAGCAAUGACAGAGCGGCGUUGCUUAGGCAAAUUAGAUUUUGGAAACUGCAUUGACUUAACUGAGGCAGCAUGUGGUAAAAUUAUGGAUGAUGUAUUGACAACACAUCAGGGCAAAGACGGAGUUAUUGCGUUAUGUAUUGCCGGAAGUAAUCUGCUGCAGAGGAUGAGGCAUCAAAAUGAUAGCGGAUCUUAUUUGUCGUUCAAACUGGGGCGGCAUGACCUGAUCGGUCUCUCUUUUUGUGUUGUUGUAGCAUCUAAAGUAUAUCCUCAUCGUGGAUUAUUCGACAUUGGCUGUACAGCAACUUUUACAGAUGACUUUGGACAUAGCUUUGAUGAAACUUUCUUUCUGUAUGGAGAUGAAGGCCGUGAAAUGGAUUUUCAUUCAGACAAUGGAUUCCUUUGGCAUAAUCCAAUCUUUGAUUUCAACUCCAGGCGCUGUUUUAGCAACGCUUCUUUACAAUUCUUCCUCAAGUAUUCAACCAAUGAGGCGGGGAUAAGCAAGUGCGGCGUUCAUCCAAUAUUCAACCAAGGCAAAAGGAAGAAAGAUGAAGAUAAUGAGGAUGAUGAGCUGGAUAUGAAGGAGGAGGAACCUCCUAGUAAGAGAUAUAAAGAGAUGGAAGAAUUGAAUGAGGUCAUCCUAAAACUUUCUGAUUGUUUCCUAAAUACUGAAAAUAAAGAAGAUGAACCUCCCCUUCGACAAUGGAAGGAGACCCGAGAGCUGAAAUGUCAUGAUCUUAGUGCUUUUCUUGCUUCACUAUUGAUGGUAAAUACAUGUCUUGCUACCUCAAGCCAGGCUAAACCUCAGACAACAGAUAUUAUCUUUACUUUGAUGAUGAUCACUGUCUGUUUGAAGUUGCUUUCCUUUGCAUCUUCUCUAUCUCUUCAUGGAUUUUCUCUCUCUUUAACUUGCUGAGUUUUCUUGCUGUGCAUGGUGCUUUCAUAUUAAUGUUGGUAGCGAAGUAAGAAGGUGGUGUGGUCAAGUGCAACAGUACAGCAUUCUACUAUACAAGUGAACUGUGAAAGCCUGAGUGAAAUGCUGAAGCAGAUGGAAUCUGAUGGCUAGAAUGUUUCAUAAAUAGAGUGGAAGCCUUACUUGAACCUCCGUAUAUAUCCUUUCAUUAUCUUCUCAUGAAUGCAUGUUUUGAGCUGAAUCCCGUCAAAUAUAUCGCCUAGUGCAUUUACUAGUUUUCAGUAUUUUAUGUGAAUUCCCUUCAAAUGAAAGUGCUCAAUGCAUAUGAACGAGCAUGCAUGUAUUUGAGUGAGAGAAAUAUAGGGAGAGACAGACUUAAGGAACGCAAUGGAAACAAGUUUUACAUGCAGAAAAUCAUGUGAAAAAUCAAGUUUGACUCAUGGCAAUUAGUUAGAAACUGAUUACCAGAAAUAAUUUAAUAAAACAAAACUAUUGUACUAAUUUUAUUAAAAUUUUUUAGUCCAUUUUAUAUCACUUUAUUAGAAAUAAAUUGACUAUUAAUUAAUUUAAUUAAUUCGUCUUUAAAUUAAUUAUUUUA